GGGUAUAGCUCAGUGGUAGAGCACCUAGCAUGCACAAGGUCCUGGGCUCAAUCCCCAGUACCUCCA
This 66-nucleotide transfer RNA is filed under the name Camelus bactrianus (Bactrian camel). It matches the Rfam family "tRNA". Rfam says of the family: Transfer RNA (tRNA) molecules are approximately 80 nucleotides in length. Their secondary structure includes four short double-helical elements and three loops (D, anti-codon, and T loops). RNAcentral also lists the same sequence under 2 other names. The record is from Rfam by way of RNAcentral. Lineage: Eukaryota; Metazoa; Chordata; Mammalia; Artiodactyla; Camelidae.